RNAcentral lists this ribosomal RNA (496 nucleotides) under uncultured bacterium. RNAcentral describes it as "partial 16S ribosomal RNA". It matches the Rfam family "Bacterial small subunit ribosomal RNA", at positions 29 to 507 of the family's 1533-position model. The record is from RNAcentral.
AUGAACGCUGGCGGCGUGCCUAAUACAUGCACGUCGAGCGAACAGACGAGGAGCUUGCUCCUCUGACGUUAGCGGCGGACGGGUGAGUAACACGUGGAUAACCUACCUAUAAGACUGGGAUAACUUCGGGAAACCGGAGCUAAUACCGGAUAAUAUAUUGAACCGCAUGGUUCAAUAGUGAAAGACGGUUUUGCUGUCACUUAUAGAUGGAUCCGCGCCGCAUUAGCUAGUUGGUAAGGUAACGGCUUACCAAGGCAACGAUGCGUAACCGACCUGAGAGGGUGAUCGGCCACACUGGAACUGAGACACGGUCCAGACUCCUACGGGAGGCAGCAGUAGGGAAUCUUCCGCAAUGGGCGAAAGCCUGACGGAGCAACGCCGCGUGAGUGAUGAAGGUCUUCGGAUCGUAAAACUCUGUUAUUAGGGAAGAACAAAUGUGUAAGUAACUAUGCACGUCUUGACGGUACCUAAUCAGAAAGCCACGGCUAACUACGUG